UACGAAGGGUGCAAGCGUUGCUCGGAAUUAUUGGGCGUAAAGGGUUGGUAGGUGGUUGCGUAUGUCUGGGGUGAAAUCCCUGAGCUUAACUCAGGACGUGCCUUGGAAACUGCGUAACUAGAGUACUAGAGAGGUUCGUGGAAUUCUUGGUGUAGCGGUGAAAUGCGUAGAGAUCAAGAGGAACAUCAGCGGGGAAGGCGACGAACUGGAUAGUAACUGACACGGAACAACGAAAGCGUGGGGAGCAAACAGG
This 253-nucleotide ribosomal RNA is filed under the name uncultured bacterium. RNAcentral describes it as "partial 16S ribosomal RNA". It matches the Rfam family "Bacterial small subunit ribosomal RNA", at positions 524 to 776 of the family's 1533-position model. The record is from RNAcentral.